ACCCUAAUCUAAGAUAACUUGUGCCACAAUCCUUCUAGUCGCUCUCCUAUUUUGAAUUUCCAAUAGACUAGUUCUCGAAAUCUGUAAAACAACAAGAGAUGGUAUAAUGAGCUAGACAGCCUAGUAAGUAAUGAACACUCUAGCUAGAUAAAUCAAGCAAUAAUAUGUGGAAAAUAAAUAAAUAUGCAGUUCCAAAGUAUAAGUCAAAUAUUUCUUAAAUUUAUAAGAUUUUUUUCGCGAUUUCAAGAUUCUUUCACAUAUUCAACUCAUCUUGUCGAUCCUGGACUAUGACCACAUGUUUCCUGUGGCAGGGUCAUCAACACCGACUAAUCUUCUUGCGGUGAGUCCUUCAGGACAGUCAAUUGCCAACGUAUCUGCCCCCAUUGGCAGGGUCCUCAACAUAGCCAGGUCGAAGUUCAGUUUGUUCUCUAUUUCAUAUUUCAGUUAUAUAAAAAAAACAUACAGUGUCAAAACCAAAUGUCGUUCAUAUCUUAAUUUCUUUUAAUUUAUCAGAUUCAACUCAACAGCCAGGAACUAUGACCACAUGUUCCCUAUGGUAGGAUCAUAUCUCCGACUAUUCUUCUUGCGGUACCAAUGUAUUAGCCCCCAUUGGCAGGGUCCUCAACAUAGCCCGACUGCAAGUCUGAAUCUAUUUCAAGUCAUGAUCUUUU
This 671-nucleotide long non-coding RNA is filed under the name Phoenix dactylifera (date palm). RNAcentral's name for it is "long non-coding RNA (PDAC_LNC010178)". The record is from RNAcentral. Lineage: Eukaryota; Viridiplantae; Streptophyta; Magnoliopsida; Arecales; Arecaceae.